UACGUAGGUGGCAAGCGUUGUCCGGAAUUAUUGGGCGUAAAGCGCGCGCAGGCGGUCCCUUAAGUCUGAUGUGAAAGCCCACGGCUCAACCGUGGAGGGUCAUUGGAAACUGGGGAACUUGAGUGCAGGAGAGAAGAGUGGAAUUCCACGUGUAGCGGUGAAAUGCGUAGAGAUGUGGAGGAACACCAGUGGCGAAGGCGACUCUUUGGCCUGUAACUGACACUGAGGCGCGAAAGCGUGGGGAGCAAACAGG
This 253-nucleotide ribosomal RNA is filed under the name uncultured bacterium. Its description in RNAcentral is "partial 16S ribosomal RNA". It matches the Rfam family "Bacterial small subunit ribosomal RNA", at positions 524 to 776 of the family's 1533-position model. The record is from RNAcentral.